GAACGAACGCUGGCGGCAGGCUUAACACAUGCAAGUCGAGCGCCCCGCAAGGGGAGCGGCCGACGGGUGAGUAACGCGUGGGAACGUACCUUUUGGUUCGGAACAACUCCGGGAAACUGGAGCUAAUACCGGAUAAGCCCUAACGGGGAAAGAUUUAUCGCCGAAAGAUCGGCCCGCGUCUGAUUAGCUAGUUGGUGAGGUAACGGCUCACCAAGGCGACGAUCAGUAGCUGGUCUGAGAGGAUGAUCAGCCACACUGGGACUGAGACACGGCCCAGACUCCUACGGGAGGCAGCAGUGGGGAAUAUUGGACAAUGGGCGCAAGCCUGAUCCAGCCAUGCCGCGUGAGUGAUGAAGGCCUUAGGGUUGUAAAGCUCUUUUGUCCGGGAAGAUAAUGACUGUACCGGAAGAAUAAGCCCCGGCUAACUUCGUG
RNAcentral lists this ribosomal RNA (432 nucleotides) under uncultured bacterium. RNAcentral's name for it is "partial 16S ribosomal RNA". It matches the Rfam family "Bacterial small subunit ribosomal RNA", at positions 27 to 507 of the family's 1533-position model. The record is from RNAcentral.